RNAcentral lists this ribosomal RNA (1011 nucleotides) under uncultured Psychrobacter sp. Its description in RNAcentral is "bacterial SSU rRNA". It matches the Rfam family "Bacterial small subunit ribosomal RNA", at positions 36 to 1034 of the family's 1533-position model. The record is from RNAcentral. Lineage: Bacteria; Pseudomonadati; Pseudomonadota; Gammaproteobacteria; Moraxellales; Moraxellaceae.
CAAGAUCAGGCCUAACACAUGCAAGUCGAGCGGAAACGAUGGUAGCUUGCUACCAGGCGUCGAGCGGCGGACGGGUGAGUAAUACUUAGGAAUCUACCUAGUAGUGGCGGGGAUAGCACGGGGAAACUCUGUAUUAAUACUCGCAUACGACCUACGGGAGAAAGGGGGCAGGUUUACUGCUCUCGCUAUUAGAUGAGCCUAAGUCGGAUUAGCUAGAUGGUGGGGUAAAGGCCUACCCAUGGCGACGAUCUGUAGCUGGUCUGAGAGGAUGAUCAGCCACACCGGGACUGAGACACGGCCCGGACUCCUACGGGAGGCAGCAGUGGGGAAUAUUGGACAAUGGGGGAAACCCUGAUCCAGCCAUGCCGCGUGUGUGAAGAAGGCCUUUUGGUUGUAAAGCACUUUAAGCAGUGAAGAAGACUCUUCGGUUAAUACCCGGAGACGAUGACAUUAGCUGCAGAAUAAGCACCCGGCUAACUCUGUGCCAGCAGCCGCGGUAAUACAGAGGGUGCAAGCGUUAAUCGGAAUUACUGGGCGUAAAGCGAGCGUAGGUGGCUUGAUAAGUCAGAUGUGAAAUCCCCGGGCUUAACCUGGGAACUGCAUCUGAAACUGUUAGGCUAGAGUAGGUGAGAGGGAAGUAGAAUUUCAGGUGUAGCGGUGAAAUGCGUAGAGAUCUGAAGGAAUACCGAUGGCGAAGGCAGCUUCCUGGCAUCAUACUGACACUGAGGCUCGAAAGCGUGGGUAGCAAACAGGAUUAGAUACCCUGGUAGUCCACGCCGUAAACGAUGUCUACUAGUCGUUGGGUCCCUUGAGGACUUAGUGACGCAGCUAACGCAAUAAGUAGACCGCCUGGGGAGUACGGCCGCAAGGUUAAAACUCAAAUGAAUUGACGGGGGCCCGCACAAGCGGUGGAGCAUGUGGCUUAAUUCGAUGCAACGCGAAGAACCUUACCUGGUCUUGACAUAUCUAGAAUCCUGCAGAGAUGCGGGAGUGCCUUCGGGAAUUAGAAUA